RNAcentral lists this ribosomal RNA (459 nucleotides) under uncultured bacterium. RNAcentral's name for it is "partial 16S ribosomal RNA". It matches the Rfam family "Bacterial small subunit ribosomal RNA", at positions 338 to 795 of the family's 1533-position model. The record is from RNAcentral.
CCUACGGGAGGCAGCAGUGAGGAAUAUUGGUCAAUGGACGAGAGUCUGAACCAGCCAAGCAGCGUGAAGGAUGACUGCCCUAUGGGUUGUAAACUUCUUUUAUAUGGGAAUAAAACGUUCCACGUGUGGGAUUUUGUAUGUACCAUAUGAAUAAGGAUCGGCUAACUCCGUGCCAGCAGCCGCGGUAAUACGGAGGAUCCGAGCGUUAUCCGGAUUUAUUGGGUUUAAAGGGGGCGUAGGUGGAUUGUUAAGUCAGUGGUGAAAGUUUGCGGCUCAACCGUAAAAUUGCAGUUGAAACUGGCAGUCAUGAGUAAAGUAGAGGUGGGCGGAAUUCGUGGUGUAGCGGGAAAUGCUUAGAUAUCACGAAGAACUCCGAUUGCGAAGGCAGUUCACUGGACUGCAACUGACACUGAGGCUCGAAAGUGUGGGUAUCAAACAGGAUUAGAUACCCCUGUAGUC